GUGAGGAAUAUUGGUCAAUGGGCGGGAGCCUGAACCAGCCAAGUCGCGUGAAGGAAGAAGGAUCUAUGGUUCGUAAACUUCUUUUGCAGGGGAAUAAAGUGCAGGACGUGUCCUGUUUUGUAUGUACCCUGAGAAUAAGGAUCGGCUAACUCCGUGCCAGCAGCCGCGGUAAUACGGAGGAUCCGAGCGUUAUCCGGAUUUAUUGGGUUUAAAGGGUGCGUAGGUGGUUUGAUAAGUCAGCGGUGAAAGUUUGCAGCUUAACUGUAAAAAUGCCGUUGAAACUGUCGGACUUGAGUGUAAAUGAGGUAGGCGGAAUGCGUGGUGUAGCGGUGAAAUGCAUAGAUAUCACGCAGAACUCCGAUUGCGAAGGCAGCUUACUAAGCUACAACUGACACUGAAGCACGAAAGCGUGGGGAUCAGACAGGAUUAGAUACCCCUGUAGUCC
RNAcentral lists this ribosomal RNA (445 nucleotides) under uncultured bacterium. RNAcentral describes it as "partial 16S ribosomal RNA". It matches the Rfam family "Bacterial small subunit ribosomal RNA", at positions 354 to 796 of the family's 1533-position model. The record is from RNAcentral.